This 526-nucleotide ribosomal RNA is filed under the name uncultured bacterium. RNAcentral's name for it is "bacterial SSU rRNA". It matches the Rfam family "Bacterial small subunit ribosomal RNA", at positions 777 to 1304 of the family's 1533-position model. The record is from RNAcentral.
AAUAGAUACCCUGGUAGUCCACGCCGUAAACGAUGGAUACUAGCUGUUCGUCCGCCUCGGCGGAUGAGUGGCUAAGCGAAAGUGAUAAGUAUCCCACCUGGGGAGUACGAACGCAAGUUUGAAACUCAAAGGAAUUGACGGGGGCCCGCACAAGCGGUGGAGCAUGUGGUUUAAUUCGAUGAUACGCGAGGAACCUUACCAAGGCUUAAAUGUAGAUUGACAGGACAGGAAACAGUUUUUUCUUCAGACAAUUUACAAGGUGCUGCAUGGUUGUCGUCAGCUCGUGCCGUGAGGUGUCAGGUUAAGUCCUAUAACGAGCGCAACCCCUGUUGUUAGUUGCCAGCGAGUCAAGUCGGGAACUCUAACAAGACUGCCAGUGUAAACUGUGAGGAAGGUGGGGAUGACGUCAAAUCAUCACGGCCCUUACGCCUUGGGCUACACACGUGCUACAAUGGCCGGUACAGAGAGCAGCCACUGCGCGAGCAGGAGCGAAUCUAUAAAACCCGGUCACAGUUCGGAUCGGAGU